CCUCUGUAGUUGUAAGGAAAGUAAUUAAGAGAAGUGAGAAGAUGAAUGACAUGAAGGAGAAGAAAAUGAAAGUGAGAGUAAAGAAAAUGAAAGUGAGAGUAAAGAAAACAAAAGAAAGAAACAGAGAGCUUAGCAGGCACAUCUUAAAGUUUUGUUUUUGCAAUGUAUUAUUUCAUAUUUGUGGAUUUUUUUGUUAAUUGAUGGCUGUAUUUUUAGCCAUUUAUUAUUCUUCUGGCAUCUGUUUUGUAUUAUUUGAAAUAUAUCUGUUAUUUCAACAGCCAUUAGAAAGGCAUGCUGAAGCACCAUCAGAAUCUGGAUCAUCUUCUCUACCUGCAAACAAGACCAGCAUCCCCUGUUAUUUUUAUUUUAGUGGUUUCUGCAGUAAAGGUGACAGAUGUUCUUUUAUGCAUGGCCCGGAUGCCAGUACAUGUACUGGGAAAUCUGGCAAUACCUCUUUAGCAUUCAAGGAAGGCACUCCCUUGGAUAACAAGACAUCUGUAGGAAAUGUUGUGUCUGCAUCAACAGAAGCAUGUGCUAAUCUAUCUAAAACAGCUUCAGGUUUGAUGUUGCAAGCUAAAAAGGACAUUCAGCUUCCAGCUCCCAAAAAUGUUAUAGUGCAAAGUCCCUUUCCAGAGGUUGCUUUGAGGCACUGUGAAGAAGCUGUUACUGUUAAGUCAGAUUUCUUGCUUCAAUCAGACAGCUUUAUUCAAAGCAGAUCUCAUGUUUGCACAGAUUUGAGUUCAGUAGAGCAAGUGGAUGGCUAUGUUGAACCACAGGAGUGUUGGGAAUCAUCCCCUGGUUUUGAUGUUCUUGUGGAUGACAAAUCAGGGAAUUUGGUUUACGAGGAUGAUCAAGAAUAUUUACUGGCUCUUGACAGGGAACACAGGGAGCUAAAUAACCAUUUCCAAGGGUAUGAAUUUGAAGACCUAGAGUAUGACCGUACAUACUGUGAUACAGAAGUUAUGUAUAAGCAAGAGACAUACGAUUCAUUUGAUUGUUUGGAUAAUGUGCACAUCUUUGAUGAUGUUGGAAACAGCUCUGGCUUCUCUAGUGACCGAAUUCUGGAUUCUUCAUUGCGCCGGAAGAGAAAACUCUUGCCAAUGGAACUGAGGGUUGUGGAUCUUCAAGACCGCUGGAGGAAACACAGAGUAAAUAAUGGCCUUCCAGUGAUUAGAUCAACAAGAAGGCAUGACUCAACUCGUCUGCUUGGUCGAGGUCGGGAAAAGCCUCAAAGACCUGGGGUUAGCCAGUGGCUGCAAGGAAGGUUGGCAUCAAAGGUUGGAAAGAAUGUAUUUGAUUCAUUUAAAGAUAAUGGAAUUUUGUUAAAUUGUGCUAACCAGAAUGGCUGGCGAAGGCACUCAAGGUUGAAUAGGUCCAGGCUGCAAAACAAGGGAAAAAGGCAGGCUAAAGGGCAAUUUCUUUCUUCUGAAGUGCUAAGGAAACCAGUUCCCAGAGAGAGGAAAUAUAAUAAUUCAUCCACUGAGUUUACAGGACCCAAGUCCCUUGCUCAGAUUAAAGAAGAGAAGAAAAAAGCUGAAGAUAAUGGAGAUUACACUGGGAAAACUGGUAAUUCAAAUAGAAUGGCGUUAGCUGACUUCGAGGGUCCUAAACCUCUUAGUGAAAUCCUCAAAGACAAGAGGAAGAUGGGUACUGUGGAAGAUGAUGAUGGUAGUACAUAUGACUAAAAGGUGAUACUACAAAGACUGGAAAGAAUCAAGAACAUUUAGUACAAGUUGCUAAUUUUGUACAAGAUAAUGAAGAUAAAAUUCUUGUUCAACAGAAUGAUACAGCAUAUCUUCCCAAUUCUUGAAUGGCUGCUUACCAUCAUUGGAUGAAGAAUAUUUUGUUCAUUCCUGUUGCUGGAAGAAGACAUUGAGAAGAAAGCUUUAUCGUCACCUAAUUAGGAUUGUUUUCGUGAUCUACCAAUAUGCUGGUUACUGAAUAGAAGCUUUAAACUAGAACAUACUGGUUUUUGCUCAUACAUUUCAAAGAAUUUGAUUACUUCAUAAUGAGCUUGUCCCCAUCUUUUGUACAGAGUUACCUGUAAAAUGCUUGAAUCAAUUCAUGGAUCAGUAAAUUGGCAUUGAGAAUUCCAUCAUCCUGCUUUCUUUUGCAAGUGUUGAUUAAUCUUUGAACAUUAAUUCAUUUUAUAACUCUACUUCUUUAGCUU
This 2170-nucleotide unclassified non-coding RNA is filed under the name Hevea brasiliensis (rubber tree). The record is from RNAcentral. Lineage: Eukaryota; Viridiplantae; Streptophyta; Magnoliopsida; Malpighiales; Euphorbiaceae.